Molecule: ribosomal RNA, 463 nt
Filed under: uncultured Acidobacteriota bacterium
Lineage: Bacteria; Pseudomonadati; Acidobacteriota
Description: bacterial SSU rRNA
Rfam family: Bacterial small subunit ribosomal RNA
Source: RNAcentral
GAGGGGGUCGCGGCUGAUUAGCUAGUUGGCGGGGUAACGGCCCACCAAGGCGAAGAUCGGUAUCCGGCCUGAGAGGGCGCACGGACACACUGGAACUGAAACACGGUCCAGACUCCUACGGGAGGCAGCAGUGGGGAAUUUUGCGCAAUGGGGGAAACCCUGACGCAGCAACGCCGCGUGGAGGAUGAAGUCCCUUGGGACGUAAACUCCUUUCGACCCGGACGAUACUGACGGUACGGGUGGAAGAAGCACCGGCUAACUCUGUGCCAGCAGCCGCGGUAAUACAGAGGGUGCGAGCGUUGUUCGGAAUUAUUGGGCGUAAAGGGCGCGUAGGCGGCGUCACAAGUCACCUGUGAAAUCUCCUGGCUCAACUGGGAGCUUGCAGGCGAAACUGUGGUGCUGGAGUGUGGGAGAGGUGCGUGGAAUUCCCGGUGUAGCGGUGAAAUGCGUAGAUAUCGGGAGG